Long non-coding RNA from Etheostoma cragini (Arkansas darter), 4345 nucleotides. RefSeq lists it as uncharacterized. The record is from RefSeq and is a predicted model, not a curated record. Lineage: Eukaryota; Metazoa; Chordata; Actinopteri; Perciformes; Percidae. The transcript has 2 exons.
AAGCGUGUGUGUGUGUGUGUAUAUGUGAGUGUCUGGAUAUGGGUGGGUGGGUGGUGGACUGGAUAUGUUUAGAGAUGAACUUUAAGCUGAUGGAUGCCAACAGCUGACUUACUAUUUUACAGAGUGACGUGGUGGUGGGUGAGAAGGGCCCAGGCAGGAAUGUAAAACGCUUGGCUGACUCUCCCUCUGCCGUGUCCUGGGAGAGUGGAUCUAUUUCUAUCAGUCUAUUUAUCGAUCUGUUCAUAUCUGUUUUUAUCUAUUUUCUGUGGGUCUCAGUGCCUGCCGUUUUAUACACUACAUCAGGUGUGUAUUAGACAAUCAUAGGAGUUAAUAGCAUUUGUAAAACAUAACCAUAACCUAAUAGUUUUAAAAAGGUUAAUUGCAAUUUUGCAAACAGUGCUAGUCCAUAGUGUAUUACCUACUUGCAAUUAACGAACGAAUGAUUGAAAGAUUCCUUUUGACAUGGCCUUCACUGAUAUUGUGCUGAACUAUAAAUUUAUGUUACGAUAUUUCCAUUUAUGUUCCCACGGUUCUCAUUAAUAUUGUGCUUAAUUUUACAUUGGCUCAUCUAUCCUAAUGAUAGAGCAUGGAGUAUGAUAACGGUUUAUACCAUAUAGGAUUGUAUUUGACAAAACCCAAUUUAAAAGAUUUAGAUACACUCCAUGAUUUCAUGAAGUGUAAUCCCUUCUAGCUCACUGUUUAAACAUGUUUAGAACGUUAGCUGUGUUCUAUUUCAAGCUUGGGCUGCAAAUUGUUAAAAAAAAAAGAGUUACUGAGUAAUUCAAUAAGAAUACACUUUUAAAAGCAAGUGUACUAUAAAAACCUACAAAAUUGCCUCAGCAUGUAACACUGUUGUAAAAACAUAAUGUUAAAGUUCUUAUAUUGUGCUUUUUGGCUUUUUCCUUUUACUUUAUUGUGAUAUAUAGCUUUUUUUCUGCAUGUUAUAGGUUUACAAAGUGAAAAAGCCCAAAGUCCAUCCAAAGGGACUUACCAUCUCCAAACGAAAACACUGUUCACAAACUGCUCCAAACAGCUCUAUUGUAUUCCAGCUUUUACUUCAGUGAUGAACGUGCAUCACUUUAUAACACACAUUAUAAUGCUCCCCUAGCUGCUAGUGUGACACACCCUCAUACUCUGCUUCUGACUGGAUAGUAGUCCUUACCUAGCCACUGCGCAUGUGCGACUCCAAACAUAGAGGGAAUAGAAGUUUGAUGCCUCGCUCGGUAGCCCUUAACACACAGGGUGAAAAGCGGAGUUGCAGUACAACAAAAAUAUUAUGUUUUUGAAAAUUAAACCAUGUAACCUAUUUAGAUAUAACCUCUAAAUACUAUUAUGAACCUAGCAUAAUAUGAGCUCUUUAUUGCCACUUAUAAACUGGUACUUCUUAUUGAAUGGUAGUGUAAGUUAUUGGACUGUUAAGGAUACUCAUGGUACAUUUACGAAGCACAUUCUAAUUUAAGUUUAUCAGUGCUUGAAUAACUCUAAUUCAUUCAGUAAUAAUUACAGCCAGGUGGCAUAACAUUAGCAGAGAGCUGGAAGGACAUUAGAGAGUUAUUGUUGUAGCCAUGUAAGUAGAAAUAUUUUGUGAAUGUGAACAAAGUCACUGACCCCUGUUAAAGAGUGGGUGUACUGUAGAUACACAGUAGACCUAACAAAACCAUGGUAUGUCUGAAAUCCCAAGGUGGUUAGGCAAAGAGAAACACAGUGGAAACUAAACACAACUAAAAUUAUGAAUGACAGUCACAAUAAAGUGUUAUAUUAUUGUUAAAGGCCUUUGUUGUAUUGGAAACUACCAAGUUUUAACACUUCAAGUACCACUAUACAAAGACAUGUGAUCCAUUUACAACACAGUACUUGCUGAUAUUCUUUUUUGUUUAAACAAUGUUUUAUAUUGCAAUAAAAAUAUACAUUGGAAUAUGCAACUCCUCUGCUCAGAGCCACAGUGCCACAGGUCACUUUAGGCUGACUAGGUUGUAUGAGUUUCUGGGAAAGGUUGGGAAUUAGAAAUUUAAAUUUUGUUGUACCAUUUUACCAUUUUGUUAUACCAUUUUUCUGUAUUCUGUUCUUUGCUAAACUAGCAGUAAAUGGCUCCUUUGUUAAGUAAAUACCAAAAAUGUAUAUUAAGUCGAUGAUAACGAUUUCUCUUAUGUCGUUCAUCACUAUAUAGUCCCUCACCAAAUUUAUGUUUGAGCCUUUUUUACAUACAGUGUUUGUCAUACAGUAUUAAACUGUUUAACUGCUGCCAACCCUUAUGGUUUAGUAACACAGACCAUCCAAAGAAUCUUUUUUAAUAACAAUAUUAAAGUGACAAUCAGUCCUUUGAAGAACAAUAUUAAAAACAGAACCAUGAUGUUGAUAAUAUAUAUUUAUUAUUUAUUCACAUUUUGAUGUGAAAAUACCUUCAUUCUUAAUUAAAUAAUUUCUUUGCUGAUUAAGAUGAACAAUGAUUGACAUUAACUGUUAUUGAUUAAGCUAUAGUGUGUAGUUUCUGUCUCCCCCAUGAGGAAUUCUAAGUAACGACGACAACACUGUCAGUGCAUCCACAUGAUACAGCUUUCCGUGAUUGCACAUGCUCCCCCCACCCCUCCUCCAUGCAGUUGCAAGUAGCCAAGGAGAAAGUCCCCAGAUGACUCAAUCUUGUGAACAUAGUCAUACUGAGAAAUACAGAGAGUUGUGUGGAGCUGAUAGUCUUAAUUAGCUUUGUAGCAACUUGGCUUGAAUGUUCAUUAAUAUCAAAUAUCAAAGUUACGUAAUAAAGCUUUAACAGUCUGUGUCUACUAUUUGAAGUAUUAUCAAUAAUCAUGAUACCUGUUGUGUAGCAAUGGCCUGCUUAAUAAUUUAUUUUGAGUUAUUGUUAAUAUACUGUAUGUUACAACAACAAGCCAAAAUGUCUACACAUUGAUGGUUGAUACACUUCAUUUAAUGGGGACAGACUUGAAAAAUAAAGCAUUACUGUGAUACGAUUAGAAUACAUACGGUGAGUCAGGUAUACCUUUAACCAGAUUUAUUAAUGGGUUAUUAAUUGCAAUUGAGUGCUUAGUUAAUACAAUUACAUUCUGUAGAUUAUUUCUGCAGAAAAUUUAGGGGGUUUAUCUCUCACAUUUAGAUAUAGAUCAAAUGUUUGCAUGGGUUGGAUGAUGUUGGUCACUUGCAUUAUUUUCAGAUAACUGCACAUCUAUGAUGCUGUCUCAUCGUCAGCAUUUUAAAUUUACAACUAGGACACUACUACUUUUUGUAAUCAUGCAGUGGCCGUUUGUUCCAGACCAGGAAAGGUUCCACUUAAAUGUUGAAUGCCCUAAAAUAUGCUAAAUUGUACUUUUGAUUGUUUUAUUUUGAAUUCUAAAAAGUAGCCACGUCUACGAAAUCAACUCAGACCUAUAGGUUUAUGAAAAAUAACAUUUGUAGACGCCGACAGUGAGAUUAGCUUUCAUGUUGUGUUUAAAAACUAUAUUUCUCUGAGAUUAUUAUGUUCUGUGUUCUUUAUUAUGUUUUUCAGAUGUUUUUAGUUAAUUUAAAGCUGCUGGUGUGUGAAUAGUGCUUUCAAACUAUAUUUCAUGCCCUUUUAAAUCAGCCACUGCUGAUAACAGACGUGAUGCUGUGUCGAAUGUAUCAAUGUAUUUGAAUAAAAGGUUUAGAUUAUUUGAAAUAUAAAUUAAGUUUACGUUGGGAGAAGAAAAAAUUGUCUUAAAUCUGUUUCAACCCUGAUAACUGGAUUUAGCAUAACUUGUUUUUGUCAUGAUGUAAGUGUGGUGCAUGCAGAUAUUUGCUGGUUUAGUUUUGCUAAUUUGGAUGUUGGAGUAAAAUAUUGUAUAAAGUGUGAAUAUUCAGUCUGACAGAAUUCAGUGGAUUCUAGAAGUUGAAGUCAGUGUGUAAAAUAAUUUUGCAAACUCAGUCUCAACAAGGCUGCAGUGUGGUGCCUGAAGGAUAAGAACUUAAUAAAAAGCUCCAAUCCUAUUUUUUCCCAGGAUUCCACUGAAACUCCAUCAGAAACAGCAAUGACGUGUCUUCUUCAUUCCAUCACUGGGAAAUUAAUGAUGUCUACUAUCUACAUGAAAAUAGCUUCAUCUUUUUUUGUAUAAUAAUGACACAGAUGAAAGCGAGCAUAUGGACCCUUUGUUCAGUAUAGGAAUCCACUUACUAGUUUUUAAUUGUCUUACCAUACCAUCAGGAUAUAGCAACUAAAGAGUUAUAGUAGAUAUUCAGUGUCAAUCCUUAUUAAAGGGAGAUUAACUCAAAACCAAACCAACAGUGGGAAAUCAGUUAUUUUAUAUAGGCAUCUCUAAAAUUCAUGGAACUGAAGUAGCAAAAUGUAAAAAAAAUUGAUAUGAUUAUUUAAAUAUGUAAA